Gallus gallus (chicken) is the source of this 1161-nucleotide long non-coding RNA. NCBI's taxonomy places the organism in Eukaryota, Metazoa, Chordata, Aves, Galliformes, Phasianidae. The record is from Ensembl.
GUAAAGUAGAAAGGAAGGAAGGAAGACAAAUAACUUUUUGAUACACAAGUUUGGAACAGAGGACUGACUUUUAGCUAAUCUGAAAGAUAAUCCAAGUUUUGUUGUAGAUCUGAAUGUGGCAAGGUUAUCACUCCAUAUCUCAUUUCUCAAGUUUCAUUCUCUUUUUAUUUGGCUAUUUCAAAAAGAAUUCUGUGGUCAGAACAUUCAGUCAGUGGUGUUUUUAAUAAUAUUGUAUUAAAAGAGAGCCUUGUUUUUGUUUUGUCUUUUUUUCUAUUUAUGGAACUGAGGGAGGAGUAUGUAUAAUAAGAAUGAAAUUGUCACUACAGAUUUAUCCUUUUCAAGCACAAUGAAUUAAAUAAGUUUCUUCAAGUUUCUCAUGUAAUCAAAGACAGGUUUUUUUUUAGUUUUGUUUUCUUAUAAAAAAUAAAUGAAAAAAAAAUUACAAUGCUGAACUUGGAUAACAAUGAAUCUUCAUCUUUAAAACUUUUAUUCCUUGUAUGGAGCCUACAAACAAGAACGUCUAUAAACAUAACUGCCAGGAUAAAGCUAAAGUAUAUCCAACCAGAAGGAGCAUCAAUGGGAUCUUCUAUACAUGCACUGACAGAGGAAAAUAUUCACAGCUGUUAUGUGAAUUCAUCAGUGCCAGAAAACACACUGCUGAAUAUAUUCUUAUUAUCUGCACAUGAGCAACAGAGACAACAGCUGAGAGGCAUUUAACAGCUACCUUGUAAAGUUCACAGAGCUGCACCUGUGUGCUCUGAAGUUCUUCGCGUGGUCUCCACCAGGUAAAUACUUGUAAGUUUGAAUUCUAAGAUAGUAUCCUUGAACUGUGUUUACUUUCACUGAAAUAAAUGUAAAUAGUGAUACUUUUAGCAUGUGAAUUGGUGUCUGCCAAACUGGGUCCAUAACUUCAUAAGACUUUAAAACAGCAUAAAAAAACUGACCAGUUUUAAAACUAACAUAUUAAAAGAAGGAAAGAAGAUGAGGUGUUAAUAUUUAAUUAACAUUGGAUAAAUCCAUUGGAUAGUCACAGUUAGAUGUUCAGCUCUGCAUUUUCCCUGCAUUGGGUGUGACUUAGCAGCAGCACUGUUUUUUGGUCACCAAAAAGUAUAUUUCGACCCAACACUGAUAUUGAAUUACAAACUAAAAAUCUAUUUAAAC